This 150-nucleotide transfer RNA is filed under the name Bacteroidota bacterium. RNAcentral's name for it is "Bacteroidetes bacterium tRNA-Ser". The record is from RNAcentral. Lineage: Bacteria; Pseudomonadati; Bacteroidota.
GGAGAGGUGGGUGAGUGGCUGAAACCACUGGUUUGCUAAACCAGCGUACUCUCAACAGGGUACCGAGGGUUCUACCCAAAUAGGCUUUUUCUGGCUCCAAUGGCCGAUUAAAUUUCUGGCCAUCCUUGCGUUUCCCUCCAAUUUCUGCCA